GGGCCCCUAGCUCAUCUGGCAGAGCUCCGGACUUUUAAUCCGGCGGGCAGGGUUCGAGUCCCUGGGGGCCCACCA
This 75-nucleotide transfer RNA is filed under the name Actinomycetota bacterium. Its description in RNAcentral is "tRNA-Lys". It matches the Rfam family "tRNA". From Rfam's summary of the family: Transfer RNA (tRNA) molecules are approximately 80 nucleotides in length. Lineage: Bacteria; Bacillati; Actinomycetota. The record is from RNAcentral.